CACUUAUUGAAUGCAUAUAUGCAUAUAAAGAAAUAUAUACUAAUAUUAUAUAUAUAUAUAUUUAUAUAUAUAUAUAUAUAUUUCUAAAUAUAACCUGUUCAGAGGUGACCACUUGGUACUGGACAAACAAUUGGUGUGCUCACUCACCCUAGGGAGGACCGCCUCUCCUGCUCCCAACUUUCUUCAGUUGUCUAUAGUUCUUUGUGUAGGGCUGAGGCCUUGUGGGCUUUUCCCUGUCCACUCUGGCAUAUCUUUUGGUGCCCUUCUUGUUCAGCACAUAUUUGAGCAUUCAUGGAGGGGUGUGGUUUCUGAUAUCACUAGGAGAGACAGAAGACCUGGGUCAUUCAUUGUGAAGGUUUCAGAUUUUAAUUCCAGUGACCUGGAAAGUUACUAGGCAGCUUUGAGCACAAAGGUGAUUUGACUUCAUGUUUGAAAAUGUCCUGUUUGCUAUAAGGAGAAUCUUGUUGAGAAGAAAACAGAAGAAAGGAGAUCAAUGAGAAAGGAAUGGCAAUUAUCCUUUAAAAGGAGGAAUACAGAUGGAGUAAACUGAGGAGGUGAUGACCAGUGGUGAGAAAGAAUCUGGGUAUAAUCUGAAGGCUUUGCAAGCAACAGUUCCCAGGAGAGAGCAGCCAAGGAUCACUCGGGGUUUUUGUUUGUUUCUUAAUAUUAUUAUUUAUUGGAGGGUGGGGUGUGUGUGCCACAGUUCAUGCAUGUAGGCAAGGACAAUUUUGUAAUGUUGGUGUUCUUCCACAGGUCUGACAACAAGUGCCUUUAUAUACUAAGUCAUCUCCUUGGCUCAACCAGAGAGUUUUUGACUUGAACUUCAUGCAGGAUGUAAAACUCUCGGCUACCUCUCCAGCAGCACCAUGUCUGCCUCUAUGCUGCCAUGUCCCAUCAUGAUAAUGGACCACCUCAAUUAAAUGUUUUCCUUUGUA
Molecule: non-coding RNA, 935 nt
Organism: Cricetulus griseus (Chinese hamster)
Lineage: Eukaryota; Metazoa; Chordata; Mammalia; Rodentia; Cricetidae
Source: RefSeq, a predicted model, not a curated record